GCAAUCUUCCUAGCUUGGCCUCCCCAAGUGUUGAGAUUACAGGCAUGAGCCACCGUGCCCAGCCCUGGCUGCUGUUUUGAACAGCACAGAAUUAGAGCUUAGAGAAUGAGUACCCUGCUCAUACCUCACCAGACCCUCCACCACCUGCAUCAUUACAAAACUAAUCUUAGCACAAAACAUAUUGUUUGGGGACUCAAAGAUUCCCUUGAACAUACCUGGUUAUUUUUAUACUCAUUCCAGCCUCUGUUUUCAGCACAAGCCUCAAGUUUUUGUUUUGUUUUUUCUCUCUCACUGUUUAUCAGCAGGUAGGUGUGCAUUAGGUCAGGUGGAAGGCCAGAGGGGCAGAGUGGCGCCUCCGAAAUCAGAUGAACCCGUCCUGCCCUUUCCCUGGGCUGUGUGGCCUUGAGCAAGCCCCUUAACCUCUCUGAGCCUCUGCUCCUCCAUCCCUGGAAAGGGAGAGUGGUUUCAAGGGUUGAGCACCCCUCCAUGUAGGAACUCAAUACCUAGUAGCGAUGAUUGUUAUUGUUCCUAUGUAAACCUCUUUGUAAACUAUAAAACCUUGCACAAAUGUGAGGCAAAAUACUGCUGUCAAAAAUUUUUCUUUUUAAACAAAAUGCUCUGAAACUUGGAGGAAACUGCAUCAACCAGGCCCAGGAGACAAACCAAACUCUCCAAGCAAUAAAUCUGGACGCUUUCUGCUUUUCCCAUCGAGCGAGCAUGUUGCCGUUAGCCCUGCAACCACGGAAUUGGGAUGAAGAUUUGUUGAUUGUCUGAGGUCUUCCAGCGACCAGCCUGUUGGGGGGGGAGACACUUGGGUAGGGCCAAGGGCUGAAGGGAGACGCUGAGAGCCUGCCCAGGAAUCUGGCAGAGGCACCUCUACUUUGGGGGAUAGUUGAGGUCCAGUUCGUUUUUCCUCUUCACGGAUUCCCUGGUAAAUCCUACAACUUUAGCGAGGGCAGGAAAUUAUAGCGCCCCCAUUUACAGAGGAGGGAACUAAGGCUUCAAGAAGUUUGCUCAGGUCAAACAGCUGUUCCUGACUUCUGGACAGCCCCAUGGAGGCCUGCCCAGGACUCCCUGCCAUGCCUAAUACCCUCCUUCUCCCCUACCCUCGUGUAGCUGACCCAAAGUCCAGGGUGACCAUCUGCUCAUGACAUUUGCUCAUGACAGUUUAGUUUUAACCUGUUGUUCCAGCAUAAUAAUUAAUAGUAUCCCCUUUUAAUAAUGAAAAAUGCCCCAUUUGGACAAUAAAUUAUAUGCCCACCCCCACCCCCCAGUCUAAGUAAAAACAAUGAUAACUGAGAUGUUUUUCCCAGAAGCCUUCAGUGCUCUGGGGAAUGGAAAAACCCAACCUGGAAAAACAUGCAAAUAUCUCAGAGAUUUGUUUCCUUUAGAAGCCAAGCUGGAAACUCCCAUGUUCUCACACAUCUCCAUGCCUUUCCAUGUGCUGUGCCUCCUGCCUAGACUCUGCCCCCAGAUUUCUUGGCCAACCCUGCAUCCACCUGGGGGUGUGGCUGUCUCUCUCGGGGACCAGCCACACGCCCAGACCAUCCUGUCCUGACUCUCAGGAGGCCUGUCACCAGCCAGUCACUAUCCCUUGGGAGUUGCCCUGAGAGCUGGGGUGGGAAGCUGUGCUCUGGCCCACACGGAAUGACUCAGAACCGGGCAAUCAUGACACCAGCGGUUCUCAGAGUGUGGAACCCACAGCCCCAGCAGCCCCCAGGCGCUUGUUGGAAAUGCAAAUUCUCGGGUCCCACAGGAGACCUGCUGCGUCAGCAGCUCCGGGACAGCCCUGCAGUCUGUGCCUUUGACAAGCCCUACAGGUGACUCUGAUGCAGCAGUCGGUAACUGACGCCCUGCGCCACCUCCCCAGCCACCCAGCCCACACGGCGGCCACUCCCCGGGCCUGCUGCCUACCGCAGGGACUCCAGCCGCCACCUCGGCUGGCUCGCCAGGUGUUCUGCAACGGACCAGAUAAGAAAGGAAAACUGCCCCACUUUUGAACAAUAGGAACACUCUCCACUCAAAAAAAUUUUUUUAAAUACACAGUUAAAUCUUCACAAUGAAAGCUGAAAUCCAAAGAAACUGGCAUCCAAACCCUUCCUCCCUCCAUUUUCAUUCUGCUCAGUCUUGACCAGGGGCUCCUGGGGUAACAGAGCCCCUCGCAUGCCGGCGUUCCUGCAGCUGCCUCCUGGGCCAUCUCCUGCGUCACCGGUGUGGCCCUUUCACCUCCUCCCCUGGCGAAUUAACCCGACCCCACGUCCCCAGAGCACCCUGCUCUUCCACAGUCUCACUGGAUAGGAUGCGAAGAAUCCUCGCACCAGCCUGAGGGUAGAAACUACAAGCAGACUCAUUCCCUCCGGCAGUUGUCUCAGCAAAACGGUGCUCCCGGAACCCGUAUAAUCCAGACCCAUGAUGUCCUCGCCAGCCAGGGACCAGAGCAGAGGCAGAGCGUGAGCGGGUGGAGAAAGGAGAAGAUGCGGGCCUCAGCUGUCCCAGGGGGCCGCUUCUCAAGAGAGUGGCCUUAGGGAUGCUUCCAUGUCCUCUUGCACAAUUUACACAAUUCCAACUGUGGCUUUUCCCAGUCUUAGGACCUGCAUGGGCCACCUUCUCCAGGUGCCAAGUCUACAUGUUUGUAAUAUCUAGGUCCUCUUUGCACCCAGGCGCUGGUGCCCUGGACUGUGGGCCCUGUCUGGGGUCCCAGCCUCUGACCCAUGAGCAGGGGACCCCUUGUGUGUAACGAGUCCGUGACUCACUAGACUGUCUGUUGCUCUUCUCUGUGCAUUUCUUUGUUUAGCAAGUUCUUGAGCUUGUGCUAUGGGCUCAUUGCUGCUGCCCAGCCACUGUUCUGGAAUCCUCCAGCCUUUGUAACUCAACAAGUCACCAUUUACCAUCUCUUCCCAGCCAGGCAGUGGGUGAGGCGCCAACGCCGCAGCGGCGAAGGAGGACGACAGGAGUCCUGCCCCGUGGGCUCCCAGGCUAGUGCAGGGUGGGUGGCCAGGACCGGAAAUGCAGCACGUCAGCAAGACGAGUCUGGGGGUGCCACGGUGGGGGACAGAUGACAGUGCCUAGAGGAGUUCAGGAAAUGGGGAGGUCAGAGAUGGCCCCCAGCGGGCUGACAUUUGUGACAGUCUGUGGGAAGAGCCUUCCAGGCAGAGGGAACAGUGAGUGCAAAGGCUCAGAGGUAGGGAAGGGUUGGUGCCUCUGAGGAACAGGAAGGCAGUGGGCAGCGGAGGACGGGAAGGGGACAGGGCUCCUUCCCGCAGUGCUUGCCAGGCUGGGGUCAGAGCGUGCUGUGGUUUGAAUGUCCCCUCCCAAACCCAUGUUGAAAUGUAAUUGACAUUGGACGGUAUUACGAAGUGUGACCUGGGCUGUUAAGAGGUGAUUAGGCCAUGAGGGCCCGGCCCCGUGAAUGGGUUGAUGUCGUUGUCGCAGAAGAGGGUUGGCAUAAAAGCCAGUUUGGCCCUCUCUUGUCCACUCACUCCCCGACACGCGCUUGCCCUUCUGUCUUUGGCCACGGCAGGACCACACAGCCCAAAGCCCUCACCCUGACCUUGGACUUCUCCGCCUCUAGCACUGUAACGAAUAAAUUUCUUUUCUUUAUAAAUGACCCCAUCCAUGGCAUUCAGCUAUAGCAACACAAAACAGACUAAGACCAAGUUUAAUUUUAAUCUGGGAGUAGCAAGAAGCUGGGAAGGGGUUAGAGCAGGGCAUGCGAUGACCCACUUUGCAUUUCGGAACGUUUCCUCUGCCUUCUGAGUGGAGAGACCCAGGAAUUCUCUGUCCCCUCACAUCCGUCUCAGUAGAAAACCAUUCUCGGAUUCCCACGCGGAAGCUUCUGAAACCCGAGGCCCCAGAGCGCAGGGAGGACCGAGUGCCCUCUGCCUGGCUCCUCCGACUGGGCCUCGCCUCAGCUUUUGUUCUCAGGUUUUGAGGAGCCAGGAGACUUCAAGGGUGCCGGGGGCCUUUCCUCUGACCCUUCUGCCUGUAGCUACGGGUGGAGCCUCGGCCUCCCGCCCUCUGCGGCCCCGCUCCUUUCAAGCCGGCCCAACUGUGCUUUUAAAACCUGGAAGCUGCCUCCUGACGGCCCUUCCCUUUCUCGAGCGCGCGCGAGCCAAGGCUGUUUACGGGGUCCAGGGCCUUCUUUACUUUCCCACUUGGAACCUUCUGGAUUUGUGGCAGGUGUGAAGGCAAUGAGUUCUGGGUCCACUGAAAGCAAAUACUGAUCAAACAUUCUGUUCUGUCACCGCUACCCUCCCCCAUGGGCAAGUCCAACCAGGAGACAGUUGUCCAUGAGUGUCUCCCCCUGGCCUGGUCCUCCCUAAGCCCGCCCUGCCGUGCCCCCUUCUGCUGUGUCGUUCUCUGUGUGCUUCCGGUGGGGUGCUGAGGGCCUGGCCCUCUCUCACACAGUUCCCACCUAUGAUCCCCUUGUGGCCUGGACACCCUCCUGUCCAAAGCUCACCGGAUCACCAACGGGACACCCCAACAGCCUUGACUGCCACCACCCACUGGUGUCAUGGACCUCAGCUCCCUGAGAUCUUGCCUCUGCCUCUGUUAAAUCUCUCUGGGCACCUGGAUCCCAGUGUUGCUGUCAUAGCUCACUGUAAUCUCGAACUCCUAGGCUCAAGUGAUCCUCCUGCCUCAGCCUUCUGAGUACUAGGGACUAUAGACACAGGGUACCAUACCAAGCUAAUUUUUAAAUUUUUUUGUAGAGAUGGGGUCUCACUAUGCUGCCCAGGCUGGUCUCGAUUUCUUGGCCUGCUCAAGUGAUGGUCCCGCCUCAGCCUCUAAAGUGCCAGGAUUACAGGUGUGAGCCACUGUGCCCAGCCCAUGAAGCUCUCUUCCACUCAUUCAUGGUUAAAACCUCUAAAGUGUACAGCUCAGAUCAGAGUUUAAGAAAUAAAGCAUUUCAGAGACAUGUCCCUCCCUUGUGUGGGUGACCAGCUUAUCCCGGUUUUGACUUUCUUGCUUUUAGCACCGAGUAUCCCACACUCUAGGAGCCCCAUCAGCCCUCAGCAGGCAGGAUGGCUGAUGGCCCUGGCCCCAGCCCCAGUUCAAGACAAGAGGAGCAGAAUUCAGGGCAGUUCAUCCAGCGCCAUCUGCCUGGGCCUAGCACUGACCAUUUGAAGGUCCCCAAAUGUCAAACUCAUUUUUUCUAGCUCGUGUGGAACUCGGCUGUCUUUGCAUUUUCUCCAUCUUGGCUGUGCAUCAGAACCACGGAGGAGCUUGUAAAGAUGCCCCUCUCUCCCCCAACCGGCUGGGGUUGGCCCUGGGUGCUGGUCUGGUGCAAAGGCCCCAGGCGACCAGUGGGCAGCCAGGCGAGAUGACCCAGGGCCUCUGCACCACAAUGCCAAGAAUAAAGCUGGCCAUUUGGGCAGAAGCCCAGGGGCAUUUCCUGACCCCAGGAAACAAAUCUCUCCACCAGCCUGAGCAGUAUGCGUGCCAAGCCAAGCCUGUCACGACCUCGAAAAUUAAUCUAUUUUCUGGCUAAUCACAGCCACAGCCCCAUGCCUGUGAAUCCAGCCAAAGCGCUCAACACCCCAAGGCACAGUGGCAUCUGUGGCCCACAGGCCAAAGGCUUCUUCUCUUCGCUCCUUUGAUGAUCUCAUUGAAUCCUGUGGCUUUAAAUGUCAUUUUUAGGCUGGCAACUCCCAAAUUUAUAGCCCAUGCCCUAACUUCCCCUUAGCUCACAGCUCCAGACCCACGCACGCAGCUGCCUCCUUCACACGGCGCUGUCUCAACCCGCAUCUCAACCCACCAUGCUGCCUUGUGUCAGGACAGGCCACUAGCGACCCGAGGUCCAGCCCAGAGCUGACACUGUGCUUCUCACCAUCCUCCUCUGACCCACCCGCAAGUCCUGCCUCUGGCCCCGUCCAUCCCUGCCGCCUCCAACCUCUCUCCACCCCCACCAAGCCCCGGCCCCUGUCCCCUUAGGCCUGGGAGGCCCCACUAGCCUCCUGCCUCCCUCCUUCCUCUCUCGCUGCCCUAAGUCUAUUCUCUGCCCAGAAACCAGAAAGGUUUUUAAAACAAGCACCAAACAUCUUUACAGGGAUAUCAUUUAUAUGCUAUAAAAUCCACCCAUUUAAAAGAUGUACGAUUCAUAUUUUUUUGGUAUAUUCACAGAGUUGUGCAACCAUCAUCAUAGGCUAAUUUUAGAACAUUUCUCACCCCAGAAAGAAUACUCACAGCCAUUAGCAGUCGCUCCCUCCCUCCACAGCCCCAGGCAGCCGCCGGUCUACUUUCUGCCUCUCUGGACAUUUCACAUAAAUAGAAUCACGUGGUCUUCAUGUCUGGCUUCUGUCACUCAGCAUAAGGGUUCUAAGGCUUAUCCCAGCUGUAGCAAGUGUCCAAGCAUCAGUCCUUUCUAUGGCCAACUAAUAUCUUUUGCGUGGAUACACCAUAUUUUGUUUUUCCAUUCAUCACUGGAGAUUUUGGUUUUUUCUGCUCUGGGGCUAUCAGAAAGUUUUUUUUUUAAAAAAAAAAAAAAAACAAACAAAAACAAGUCAUUGGCCGGUGAGAAGGUAGUGAGUUAUCUCACUUGAUUGUUCACAGUCAGUUACGGAUUGAACUCCUUGUUCUACUACUGUCCCCCCUUCUCGCUACUGCUCUUGACUAGUCAAAAAAAAAAAAAA
Microcebus murinus (gray mouse lemur) is the source of this 6629-nucleotide non-coding RNA. Lineage: Eukaryota; Metazoa; Chordata; Mammalia; Primates; Cheirogaleidae. The record is from RefSeq and is a predicted model, not a curated record.